This 470-nucleotide ribosomal RNA is filed under the name uncultured bacterium. Its description in RNAcentral is "partial 16S ribosomal RNA". It matches the Rfam family "Bacterial small subunit ribosomal RNA", at positions 28 to 507 of the family's 1533-position model. The record is from RNAcentral.
GGUGAACGCUGGCCGCGUGCCUCAGACAUGCAUGUCGAGCGGGGCCGGUUUAUACCUGUUCAGCGGCGGACGGGUGAGUUCCGCGUGGGUGCCCUACCCGGAAGAGGCGGACAACCUGGGGAAACCCAGGCUAAUUCGCCAUGUGUUCCUGUCCUGUGGGGCAGGACUAAAGGGUGGAUAGCCCGCUUCCGGAUGGGCCCGCGUCUCAUCAGCUAGUUGGUGGGGUAAAGGCCCACCAAGGCGACGACGGGUAGCCGGUCUGAGAGGAUGGCCGGCCACAGGGGCACUGAGACACGGGCGCCACGCCUACGGGAGGCAGCAGUUAGGAAGCGUCCGCAAUGGACGGAAGUCUGACGGAGCGACGCCGCUUGGAGGAGGAAGCCCUUCGGGGUGUAAACUCCUGAACUGGGGACGAAAGCCCUGUGUAGGGGGAUGACGGUACCCAGGUAAUAGCGCCGGCCAAGUCCGUG